GCAGACAUAGUGUCAAAACUGGCACAUAAUCUAAACAAAACGUCCUGUAGCAGAUUUAACAUUAACCGGGCAAAUGUCUGGGAUGGUGCCUUAAGAGGUUUCAGGUGAUCCUCAUUUGAUCCCACCUGCAGCUUGAUGAUGAAAUUCAUAGAUGACGCUGGGCUGAUGGAAGAGGCUUUGGACAGCGGGGGGCCUACUCGAGAAUUUCUGACUCUGUUGAUGGACACCAUCAAAACAAGGAGAGUAUUUGAAGGCAAAGACCAUGCCAAAUACCUCUCAUUUGAUAGUAAAGAAAACAAUGAAUAUUUCCACAUUGGAAGAAUGAAUGCAGUGCCCAUUGUGGUCCAGGGCCUUGUUGUCUUUGCCCGAACUUCUUCCUUUACCUGAUUGGUAAAGUAAAGAAGAUUGAGGCCCCAACUGAGGACAUACCUGAUGAUGAGGCCAAGAAGGCCCUUCUUGAGAUAAAGAAUGCUACAUCACUGAGUGACCUCCAGGCACUUAUGCUUAUGGCUGCCAUUGAAAAGGUGCCUCUCUCUCUCAGGUCACUGAAGAGGUCAAUCCAAAACUGAGUCCUAAUGAUGGAAUGACACUAUGCAC
Long non-coding RNA from Onychostoma macrolepis, 597 nucleotides. RefSeq lists it as uncharacterized. Lineage: Eukaryota; Metazoa; Chordata; Actinopteri; Cypriniformes; Cyprinidae. The transcript is spliced from 3 exons. The record is from RefSeq and is a predicted model, not a curated record.